This 482-nucleotide ribosomal RNA is filed under the name Paenibacillus sp. MP8. RNAcentral's name for it is "bacterial SSU rRNA". It matches the Rfam family "Bacterial small subunit ribosomal RNA", at positions 34 to 505 of the family's 1533-position model. Lineage: Bacteria; Bacillati; Bacillota; Bacilli; Caryophanales; Paenibacillaceae. The record is from RNAcentral.
CGCUGGCGGCGUGCCUAAUACAUGCAAGUCGAGCGGAUUUCACCUUCGGGUGAAGUUAGCGGCGGACGGGUGAGUAACACGUAGGCAACCUGCCUGUAAGACUGGGAUAACUAUCGGAAACGAUAGCUAAGACCGGAUAGCUGGAUGGAACGCAUGUUCCGUUCAUGAAACACGGAGCAAUCUGUGGCUUACAGAUGGGCCUGCGGCGCAUUAGCUAGUUGGUGAGGUAACGGCUCACCAAGGCGACGAUGCGUAGCCGACCUGAGAGGGUGAUCGGCCACACUGGGACUGAGACACGGCCCAGACUCCUACGGGAGGCAGCAGUAGGGAAUCUUCCGCAAUGGACGCAAGUCUGACGGAGCAACGCCGCGUGAGUGAUGAAGGUUUUCGGAUCGUAAAGCUCUGUUGCCAGGGAAGAACGCCUUAGAGAGUAACUGCUCUAAGGGUGACGGUACCUGAGAAGAAAGCCCCGGCUAACUACU